Molecule: long non-coding RNA, 2421 nt
Organism: Cyprinus carpio carpio
Lineage: Eukaryota; Metazoa; Chordata; Actinopteri; Cypriniformes; Cyprinidae
Source: Ensembl
CUCUACAGUGAAUGGGUGCCGUCAGAAUGAAAGUCUGAACAGCUAAUAACAACAAUACAAUAAUCCACAAGUAAUCCACACCACUCCAGUCCAUCAAUUAAUGUCUUGUGAAACCAAAAGCUGCUUGUUUGUAAGAACCAAAUAAAUUAUUAAGAUGUUUUUAACUUCAAACCAUUGCUUACAGCUAAAAUAUGAGUCCACAAUUCAUAAUAAUGCUUCCUCCAGUGAAAAAGUCCAUCCCUUGUUGUCCUUUCACAUCAAAAUCCAACCACAUAUUUGUUUAGAGCUGUAGACUUCACUUGGUCUGUGCAUAUUUCUCUCCUGAUUCAGACCAGACAUCUUUUUUUUCACUGGAGGAAGCAUUAUUAUGGACAAUGGACUCGUGUUUUAGACGGAAGCAAUGGUUUGAAGUCAAAAUCAUCUUAAUGAUGGAUUUUUUUUUUUUCUUACAAACAUGCAACUUUUGGCUUCAAACAACAUUAAUUGAUGGACUGGAGUGGUGUGGAUUACUUGGGGAUUAUUGUGAUGUUUAUCAGCUGUUUGGACUCUCAUACUGAAGGCACCCUUUCACUGCAGUGGAUGCAUUGCUGAGCAGCUGAUGCUACAUUUCUCCAAAUCUGAUGAAGAAACACCCUCAUCUAGCAUGAGUAGAACCAAACCAACCACAGCAAAGCCCAAAGCCUCUCCAUCCUCACACUUUUACGGCCACCUUCAUUCAAAGUGUAAACAAAGAGGUCACCUGACAAUACCCUCAAAUACUGCUGUGCCUUCCCUAUUGACUUAGUGUCAGGCCUCCACUUGCCCUUUUGUUUCGGAGGCAAGUCUGCCGGAGCUGUGAGACACAAGGGCGAGCUGAAUCAAAGAAAGGUCAAAGUGAAUGAGAGGCUGACCACCUCGACACACACUGAGGGGAUAUCAAAGCUGCCACUACCGGCUGCAGAGAGGAGGAAAAGUCAAGUUUCUGUCUCACGUGCGCUGCUGUUCCUCAGAGAGAUCUUCAGAAGCCAGAGAUCUGCUGUGGAACGGUAAAUGGAGGUGGUGUUGGUCUGUGACAUGCGGCUUUCAUGCUCUCAGUGCUUUGAAAUUAAAAAAAAAGGCCCGAAACCACAUGUUACAGAAAGAAAUAAAGCUUGGUUCUGCCACAAGGGAAACCAACACAAACAUCAGGGCCAGUAAUCUGGACACAUCAAUAUAACUGUUUCAGUUGUGCUAUAAGCAAUUCUCUUGCAAUGGUCUCUGAAUUAAUGAAAUACUUGACUAGUAAUUCAUUCAUAUUUAAUUUAUAAACUGAUUAGCUAAUUCAAGAUAUUAAAUGUUCAUGAAGCUGAGAUUAAAGGCUGUUUUUCCAUAAUCCUGCUGAAAACUAAAAAAUGCUUAACAGAUGUUAAGCAGGCUGAACACAUUGUUACAUGCAAGUAUUCGUACGUAACAUUUACAUUUAUAAAAAUUUGAUGUGUAUAUUUGGAUAGACAUUGAAUUGGAGAUAUAGACAGCAUUAUUAUGUAAUUUUUUGAGCUGCUCUUUCAUCUGUAAAAUUAAUUAUAACUAUUUCUUACAUAGACACAACGUUUUUUUUUUACUUACACAAGCACAGUCCAAACAAUGAGGUAUUCCAUUGAAAGCACUCUUUGAUGUUACAAGUUUUAAAGUGUAGUCUUGUUUAAAAUGAUGUAAUCCUGAAACAUUAUGAAAUGUUAUCAAUUCUUAAUAAGCAAAUGUUUGAACUGAUGACAUUGAAAACAUUUUUACUCUAAUCGAUUAUAAAUAGAAACAAGCGAUUAAUUCCAUGAGUUCAAUAUUCAUAGAUGAAUUGUAAAUGUAUGUCUCGAAGUUAUUUACAUAUGCACAUGAAUUAGUUUUUAUAUGCAUUUAAAUACUGUAUGUCAGUAUGUUUCAGUGUCUGUGCAAGCGUAAGCAAACGUGUGUCCUACAACCACAUUUUUAUAAAAGUCACCCCAGAGUAUGAUGAGAGAUGAAUGCAAUCAAAUGUUUGGUAAUAAAGCAAAACAGAAAUAGUCAAGUAGUCCUGAGAUGCCAUGUUUUAAACAAAUUAAAUUAAGAUUAAGUUGUUAAAUAAGUUAAAUUAAGUUAAAUCAAAUUAAAUCAAUUGAUUUAAUCAUGACAUUUUUCUGUUCUAGCCUUGUUUUAGUAUCAUUGAAAUAAUAUAUUACUUUUAAUAUUUUGAAAUAGAUUUAAUUUUUAUAUUUUCUGUUUUAAUUUUUUUUUUGUUUUUGUCAUUUUUAUUAGUUUUUAGUAUUUAUAUUAUAUUUACAUAACUUUUUUAUUAUAUUUUAUUUUAUGCCAGUUAAUGUUUAGUUUAUUUCUAGUAAUGGUUUUUAAUUUUUUUGUAAAAACAAUUUUAGUUUCAGUUUCCAGUUACUGUUCAUUCAGCCUAAUGUGUCUUGUUUGGCGUGAAGUUCA